UACGUAGGGUGCAAGCGUUAAUCGGAAUUACUGGGCGUAAAGCGUGCGCAGGCGGUUAUAUAAGACAGUUGUGAAAUCCCCGGGCUUAACCUGGGAACUGCAUUUGUGACUGCAUCGCUGGAGUGCGGCAGAGGGGGAUGGAAUUCCGCGUGUAGCAGUGAAAUGCGUAGAUAUGCGGAGGAACACCGAUGGCGAAGGCAAUCCCCUGGGCCUGCACUGACGCUCAUGCACGAAAGCGUGGGGAGCAAACAGG
This 253-nucleotide ribosomal RNA is filed under the name uncultured bacterium. Its description in RNAcentral is "partial 16S ribosomal RNA". It matches the Rfam family "Bacterial small subunit ribosomal RNA", at positions 524 to 776 of the family's 1533-position model. The record is from RNAcentral.